Molecule: ribosomal RNA, 550 nt
Filed under: uncultured bacterium
Lineage: Bacteria
Description: bacterial SSU rRNA
Rfam family: Bacterial small subunit ribosomal RNA
Source: RNAcentral
UAGGGAAUCUUCGGCAAUGGGGGCAACCCUGACCGAGCAACGCCGCGUGAGUGAAGAAGGUUUUCGGAUCGUAAAGCUCUGUUGUAAAAGAAGAACGAGUGUGAGAGUGGAAAGUUCACACUGUGACGGUAACUUACCAGAAAGGGACGGCUAACUACGUGCCAGCAGCCGCGGUAAUACGUAGGUCCCGAGCGUUGUCCGGAUUUAUUGGGCGUAAGGCGAGCGCAGGCGGUUAGAAAAGUCUGAAGUGAAAGGCAGUGGCUCAACCAUUGUAGGCUUUGGAAACUGUUUAACUUGAGUGCAGAAGGGGAGAGUGGAAUUCCAUGUGUAGCGGUGAAAUGCGUAGAUAUAUGGAGGAACACCGGUGGCGAAAGCGGCUCUCUGGUCUGUAACUGACGCUGAGGCUCGAAAGCGUGGGGAGCGAACAGGAUUAGAUACCCUGGUAGUCCACGCCGUAAACGAUGAGUGCUAGGUGUUAGGUCCUUUCCGGGACUUAGUGCCGCAGCUAACGCAUUAAGCACUCCGCCUGGGGAGUACGACCGCAAGGUUG